UACGGAGGGUGCAAGCGUUAUCCGGAUUCACUGGGUUUAAAGGGCGCGUAGGCGGUUUAUCAAGUGAGAUGUGAAAUCCCCGGGCUUAACCUGGGAACUGCAUCUUAAACUGAUAGGCUGGAGUACUGUAGAGGAUAGUGGAAUUUCCGGUGUAGCGGUGAAAUGCGUAGAGAUCGGAAGGAACAUCAGUGGCGAAGGCGGCCAUCUGGACCAGCACUGACACUGAGGCACGAAAGCGUGGGGAGCAAACAGG
Molecule: ribosomal RNA, 253 nt
Filed under: uncultured bacterium
Lineage: Bacteria
Description: partial 16S ribosomal RNA
Rfam family: Bacterial small subunit ribosomal RNA
Source: RNAcentral